Non-coding RNA from Cajanus cajan (pigeon pea), 1357 nucleotides. NCBI's taxonomy places the organism in Eukaryota, Viridiplantae, Streptophyta, Magnoliopsida, Fabales, Fabaceae. The record is from RefSeq and is a predicted model, not a curated record.
UAGAAAUGGCACCCUAAUAUUACCCUGCGAAGGCACUACCCAUUCACUCAUGAGCAACAUAAACCUAGUCGUCGCGAGCAACGACGGAGACCUCACCACCACGCAAUGGGAACCUCUCUUCUUCGCUCCCACGAUUGUCUUCAAGGCCCCGACGCAAUGCCCCUCUAUUCAUCUUCCAUUAUAUCACAAAGAAACCCUAACCCUAGCCCCAAUCCUUCUCACGCUCGCCGGCGGAAGGUCUACGACGGCGAUCGCUCCGGCAUGGUGGUGAAGGGCCCCGGCGCGAACCUCGUCAUGGGCCAAGUCAAGAUCCUCAAGAGAGGCGAGAAGUUAAGCCCCAGCGCGAACCUCACCCUACGUAACCCUAACCUCCUCUUCUCGGUCCAUUACGAGAGCCAUUUCUUGCAACCAAUAAAUUAAAUGAUGUUAAAUCAAUGAAGGGGACAACAUACAGGAUGGCUCCUGAGGUUGUAAAAGGAAAAAACCAAGCUUAUGGGCUUCCAGCUGAUAUGUGGAGUCUGGGAUGCACUGUACUGGAAAUGUUAACAGGUCAACUUCCAUACUCUAAUUUGGAAUUUGUAUGUGUCAUUAUUUAUAUGCAAUUCUCUUUAGUCUUUAGCCAUUGGCAUCACAUAGUAAGGGUGAUCAUGUUACACUUGAGAAAAACAAUUUUGACUUUUGAUAGUGAAAAAGGCUAGUCACUUGUCAUCACUAUUUUUUUUUUUUUUGUACAUUUCAAAGUAGCUAAAAAUAAUCAAAUUUCAUGCUCAAGAGCACAGAGCUUGAUCAAGCUCAAGUCUUUUUGGGAUUUCAGUGGAGGAAAAAGUGUUACUAAAAUGCCUGGAAAACCUGACACUGAUGAUUGGCACGUAGAGCGUGGCGUAAGUUUCAGGGAGGAUGAUGGUGAUAUUCGUAGGCAGCCAUUGGAGCUUAUUGGUGGUGAUUUGGAUGGAGUGAAGAAAGAGAGACAAGCACUUCGGUCCAAAAUCAAGCAGAUUGAUGAUGUACUCAAAACCAUUGACAAGGAUAUCCAGACUCUACAGGAUGAACUGGCAGUUGUUUCUCAGAAGAGGGACAAAUCAUUUGAGAGCAUGCAGCAGCUCAGAAAAUAGCGUGAGGAGGGGGUAUGUUUCACUUUAAAUAUGAGAAAACAGCUCAGAAAAUAGCUCAUUUAAUCUUGGUAUUUGUAAAACCUGUAUCUAUAACUCGUUGUUUUAGAAAUUUAGUUGAAAUUGUAACAAGACUCUUGGAGUUCUAUCAAACUGGAAAUUAUUUAGCACAUCUGCUGUCUUGAAUCUCGUAAAGGAGAGUUUUGUCCUUGAUUUAAAUUUCAAUAAAACAUGCUUUUUUUUAUAUA